GAGGAAUGUAUAGCAAUAGCUACUUGCAACAUUGUAGAUAUGAUGCAAGAUCAACGUAGUUGAAUAAAAUUCUAGGUAGAAUUUGAUGAUGACAAUAUCUGCCUAUGUGUCUUGACCAAAUUACGUGCCAGCAGUCGCGGUAAUACGUAAAAGACUAGUGUUAUUCAUGUUUAAUCGGUUUAAAGGGUACCUAGACGGUAGAUCAAGCUUUCAAAUAAAAAAAAAAUAAAAAAAAGGACUAAUUUACUAGAGUUACUUAUGAGGGGGUAGUAAAGUACUGGUGGUGUAGAGAUGAAAUUCUGUCAUACCUCUUUUCAAAAGAAAACAUAUGGCACAGGUAUAGGCGAAGGCAUCCCCUUAUGUGAUAACUGACGUUGAGGGACGAAGGCGACGUGGAACAAACAGGAUUAGAUACCCUAGUAGUUGUAGCAGAAAAUGAUGAAUGUCAUAGAUUAGAUGUAUAAGUUUAUUCUAUAAAUGAAAGUGUAAGCAUUCCACCUCAAGAGUAAUUUGGCAACAUUGGAACUGAAAUCAUUAGACCGUUUCUGAAACCAGUAGUGAAGUAUGUUGUUUAAUUUGAUGAUCCGCAAAAAACCUUACCACAAUUUGAAUAUAUAUAUAAUUUAUUGUUUUUUCAUAAUUUAGAAAUAAAAAGGCAAUAAAAUAUAUUUACAAGCGUUGCACGGCUGUCUUCAGUUAAUGUCGUGAGACUUUGGUUAGUUCCAUUAAAUUAACGUAAACCCUUACUUUAUUUUUAGAUAAAGUAGUUCUCCGCUAUAUUGGAUAAGAU
RNAcentral lists this ribosomal RNA (790 nucleotides) under Canoparmelia texana. RNAcentral's name for it is "partial small subunit ribosomal RNA". It matches the Rfam family "Bacterial small subunit ribosomal RNA", at positions 356 to 1172 of the family's 1533-position model. The record is from RNAcentral. Lineage: Eukaryota; Fungi; Ascomycota; Lecanoromycetes; Lecanorales; Parmeliaceae.